GGCCUGGUGGUGUAGUGGUUAACAUUCCUGCUCCACCUUAUUGUAAUUAUCCCGAAUUUACAGCGAGAGAUCCUUGUUCGAAUCAAGGUCAGGCGG
Mycena epipterygia is the source of this 96-nucleotide non-coding RNA. Lineage: Eukaryota; Fungi; Basidiomycota; Agaricomycetes; Agaricales; Mycenaceae. The record is from the annotation of a GenBank genome assembly.